UGGUGAUGAGGUUUUGGUGAAACUUGGCACAGAGGUGACACUGUACAAUUCAAGGAAUGCAUCAUUCAAGCGAAUUGCCGAUUAUGUGUCGACCGAUGAUUUUCUUCAAGUUCAAGUGGCUACCUACUUAGAGAGCCUUGCUUCACCUCAUAGUUAGUGAACCUGAUGACAGGUUACAAACAUCUUGAAGGCAAAGAGAGAGAGGGUAAAUGAUCUUCCUGAUUGCCUGGUGCCCUGUUUUCAAAUUUGUGUCAUGUCAUUGCGUCUUUUUGUAUUUUUCCUUAUCUUGUUCAGGUUCUACAAAUAUCAUGUUCAAUUGGAGUUCUAUAUUUGUAUACAACUCAUAUCUUGCAUCAUGUUGUUACAAAACCCUUAAAUCCACUAAUGAUCAUCAAUGUUGAAUAGGAAAGAUUUGAGUGAUAAACAGAUGUGACACUGUACAAUUCAAGGAAUGCAUCAUUCAAGCGAAUUGCUGAUUAUGUGUCGACCGAUGAUUUUCUUCAAGUUCAAGUGGCUACCUACUUAGAGAGCCUUGCUUCACCUCAUAUUUAGUGAACCUGAUGGUUAUAGAAUCUCUACUUACUUUGGGAGGUCUAUCAUUAUUUUUCUUGAAUAUUUUCUUCUUAGGAUUCAAAGAAGUAUUUUGUGAGAUUCAAGAGUAGCAUUAUUUGAAGUAAUUAAAUUUACCUUCGUUGUGAUGUUGCUCUCUUCUGUUUGUAAAAGUGCUUCUUGGCCCCUUGCCUCUUCUUCCAUACGGAUUUUCAUCAUCAACAUUUCAAGAGAGGUUUCCUUUUGUUUGUGGCGCAUAGGUUUUUGAAAUUUCUUCAAAGAAGGUGGAAGUUUAUCUACUAUGCCACAAACAAUAAGGUUAUCUCCAAUUUUGACCUCCUCGGACCUGAGCUCUCCAACAAUCAUUAUAAAGUCUUGAGCGUGGUCUACUACUGAUUUAUUAUCCACCAUUUGAAAACGAAAAAAUCUACUAGCUGCAUAUUUUUUCGCUCCAGCCUCUUCGGUAUCAUACUUACUCUGCAAUGCUUUCCAAAUUUUCUUUGCACUAUAGUAAGUUCUAUCAUAAUAAUCAUAAAAUUUAUCAGAUAGACAAUUAAUAAUAUAAUACCGACACUUAUAGGAAUCACCAUCGUACUUUUUCCACUUUCUCUAGAUGAGAAAUAGUUUCAUCAUCAUUUAUAGAGGUGAUGUCUUCUUUGUUAGGAUUCUUCAUAGUUAACACAUAACAAACGUUGAGAAGACUUAAGUAGAAAAGUACUUUACCCUUCCAUCUCUUGAAAUGGUUACCAUUGAACCGAAAUGACUUGUUAAGAUCUCCCAUCUUGACAUCCGUGAUUUUUUCAAUUGUAGCCAUUAUGAAUCUCCUUAAAAUUGUUAGUGAAAUAUUACAAGAUAACAAAAAAUACAAGAUUACAGUUGAAAAUAAAAAGAAGAAAUAAAAUCUCUUUAGGUUGAGGCGCGGAUAUCUCGCUCUCUUUAAGGAGAUCCAAGUCCACUGCAACAAAUGUUUUUCACCCGUCCAGCAAUAGUCCUUCUUGACUUGUCCCCUCCAGAAUACAACAGCCUUGACAUAAAGUAUAAUUCAACAACUCUGGACAAGAGUUGAGUUCAAAACUCCACAAAAAGAAACACCUCCCUUCAACUAAUAAAAACUUUUUUUUUUGACAAAUUUUAUGCACUCUAUAUUUAAUUGUAUGUAUAAAUUAAAUGAAGACCACCACUAUUUAUAGUUGAGGAUGUUUUCCUAGCAAUGAAUAAAAAAAUAAUGAGGUAAUAAAUAGUGAAGAUAAAUGAUCUAGAGGUUACAUAGGUUACAAAGAAUAAUGAGGAAGAAUAAUGGAGAUGUAAUAGUCAUAAUUGACCACUACACACGUUCUGCCAGAAAAACACACAACGGACAACAAAUUUGCCCAACGUUUUCAGCAACGUUUAUCGCUAAUGAAGACUGACAAUUAAUCCAAAUUCAACUGCCCAAAGAAGUGAUGCAAAAUGCUGAGUAAUUAGGCUAUUUUACCUAACUUCUGACAGGUGUGCAAAUAAGGAAUUGGAAAAGCACUUCCACAUAAUUUUUAAUAAGAAUAUUAAAAUGCUUCUAAACCAACAAAUAUCAUGUUCAAUUGGAAUUCUAUAUUGUAUACAACUCAUAUCAUGCAUGAUAUUGUUAUAAAAUCCUUGAAUCCACUAAAGAUCAUCAAUAGGAAAGAUAUGGAAGGAAAUGAACAAUUGAGUCUUUCAGACCAAGAAGAGAAAUAAUGUGGUUCUCUCAAGGAAAAAUAUUCAGAAAAUGGUGAUGCAAUGUAGUUUGAAGGUCAAGUUAGCUAGUCGAAUUGUGAAACUUAAUUACUAUCCUAGAAUUAUACCUAUUGUGUAAUUGUUUUGCUACUGAUAUGUUAGGACUAUGCCCAACAACCAGAUACGCUGUACAUAUUUCCUACUUUGGUAUAGAAAAUGUCUCUAUUACAAAAAAAAUAUAUACUUAUAUAUAUAGAGAGAGACUAUUUAUAAACCAUGAAAAAUAUAAUUAUUUUUUCUUAACAUGUUAAAAGUGAUAAAUAAAUGAAAAAAAUAUAUUUUUAAAGUAGUGUAUAAGUGCAAUUUACGGAGUUUUUAAGACAAUUAGAGCAUGUUUGACCAAGUGGCUAAACAUUACUUAUUUCUAUAAGCAUUUAUUAAAAUUAUUUUUUUGAAAAUUCCUUUGUAAAAAUGAAAAAAGAAACAAUUUGUGUUUGACUAAUUUAUUUGAAACAUGCUUUUGAUAAGUAGAUUGUGUCUGACUAUUCAUUUUUAAAUGUGCUUUCGAAAAUCAAAUUAUGAAAAAAGACCAGUUAUCAAUGCACAUUAAAAUUAAAAUUAUUUAUACAAAAAAAUUAUUUUAAAUAUCUAUUAUAAAAAAAUUAUUUAAAAAGUACAUAUUACAGUUUUUAAUCAAUAUGAUAGAUAAAUAAUUCAAAGAAAAUAUUAAAUAUUAAUAUAAUAUUAAUCAUGAUAAUUUAAACAUAAUCAAUAACAUUAAGCCAAAUAAAUUUAAAAACAAUUGCACAAAUUAAAAUAUAUAAUAAUAUAUAAUGUAAAAUAAAAUAAAUAAUUUAUUGUGUGAAAAUGAAGAAUAAAAUUCAUAAAUAACGAUUAAUCAAACUUAUGAAAUAUGCUAAUUAAUUAACAAGGGAUAUAAUAGUUAAUAUGUAUAAAUGAUAGGAUAUUUUUGUCUUUGAAAAAAUUAUUUUCUACUUCUACUUUUUUCAAGAAGCAAGUUUUUUUACCUUCUACUCCUAUUUAAAAGUCAAACACUUUAUUUUAUUUAAAAAGUGCUAUUUCUAUAUAUAUAAAAAAACAAACAUGUUUUUCACCUUCCAACCGCUAGAUUAAACAUGCUCUUAAUUGGCAUAAAUAACCUUGCCUUUCAACAUUAAGAUUGAAUAAUCAUUUUUUCAUAACGAUUUUGAGGAGUCUUGUUGUUGUCGUUGUUUUUUCCUCAAAUCUGCUGGCUACAAAAACAAAUUGAAUAUUGUAUUCUACUAGUAGCAUCAAAAUCUAUUUUGACACCUAACGUGGAACCCGCAGAAGCAAAACUUAAAAGAGAGUGCAAAAUUUAAAAGUUGUUUUUUUUUUAAUAAUAAUAAAAAAAAGAGAGUGCAAAUCUACCACGUGUCAUUCAAAUAGAAAUAAGCCACAGGUGUACAAAUGAUAAGGUGAUCAACACUCUGACAAUUGACAACCAAAAACAUGUUGCUUACCUGACACCUCUUAUACAAGACAAAGGAAGUAACUAAUUACCUCUACUCUCCGUUUAAAAAAAAAACAACAACAUAUGUUUGACUUGAUAUCGAAUUUACAAAAAUAAAUAAUUUUAUAAUUACAAUUAAUAUUUCGUAAAAUGUAUAUUUAAAAAUAAAUUAAUUUUGUGAUUUAAAAUAUAUCUCUUGAAAAAACUAAAAUAUCAAAACUGGAAAAAGAAAAUAAGUUAUUCUUUUUAAAAUAGAGAAAAUAAUAAACUUAGCGUAAAAUAUGAGAAAUAAAUAGUUAGAAUAACAAUUAUACUCCUAUUUAUUUCACUUAAUUUCCUUUUUUUUUUUUGAAAACUCUCUUUUAUCGACGACUCUUUUAACAUAUCAUAUUACAUAAUAUGAGGGGGUUUAGAUUGACCUAAAAGUUGAUUAAACUUACUUUUAAGUCAGUAUUUGAUUUUAAAAAGUGUUUGAUAAAUAUAAAAAUAACUUAAAAUAAGUCAAAAAUGACUUAAAAUAAGAUAGGAAGUGUUUGUUAAGAUUAAAAAUAGCUUAAAAUAAGUUGAAAAUGACUUAAAAUAAGUUAAAAAUUAAAAGUAAAUCUCCUCAUAUUUUUUAUUUUUUUGACUUAAAAGUCAUGUAAAUUUGACUUUUUAUCUUUAACUUAAAAGCUACUUUUUAAGCCAAUCCAAUAGACCGUCCACAACCUUAAAUAUUUUUAAUUUUAAAAUAUAAAUUUAAUUAUUUUUAUAUAUUUUUUUUCCAUACAAAAAUCACUAUUAAAUAAAUAAAUUAAAACGAGACAAACAAAUUAAUAUAAAUUGAAUAAUAAGUUCUAAUGUGUUUCUUUUUUUAAUUAUUAUUAUUAGAAAAAUAAUACUCAUAUCCAUCUAGUGUUGGCAGAGCCAGAAAUUAUAUGCAAUAUAAGGCGGCUUAUUUAGGAACAAGACAAGUGAAAGAAAACGUAGCGCAAAAAUAAAGAAAGAGUGGCGUGUAAGGUUGAUGACAUCAAAAGUCAUUUCACUUUCAUAUUUUCUCUGUUAACUCUCACUAUCUUCUUCUUUCUAAAAGCUACGUAUUUCAGUUGCAAUUGCCUUUCAAUGUCACCCAUACAUAUAUUUCAAAAAACAAAAACAUAACAAUUGAAUGAAGAUGGAAGAAAUACCAACUCUUCCUCAAGACAUCAUCGUUGAAAUUCUCAUCAGGUUACCUCUCAAAAUCCUCUUGAAAUUCAGGUCUGUUUCGAAAUCAUGGCUUUCUUUACUCUCAGAUUCGCAAUUCCAUAAAACCCAUAUCAAUUUUUCUAUGAACAACCCCAAGUUUACCGACUACACACUUGCUGCUGUACCCACUGUUUCUGGUUUGGGCAAAAUCUGUCAUGUCUACACUAUACGCUCUGAAAAUUCAUCUGUUAUUGUGUCUAAACAUGAGUGUCCUUCUAAGACUCUGUCUCUCUCGGCUUGGAUUUUGGGGUCUUGUAAUGGGCUAAUUUGCUUAACUACUGAUUCGUUUAAUUUAAUGUUAUUGAAUCCGUGUACUGGAAAGUUUAAUGUAUUUCCUGAUUUGAUGAUUGAGUAUGAAGUUGGUGAUGGUGGUGUGCAUAUUAGAUAUGGAUUUGGCUAUGAUGCAUAUGCGGAAGAUUAUAAGGUUGUUAAGAUGUUUAGUUUUCCUCGAAUCGGUAAUGAGGGAAGAAGACAUGUUAAUAUGGUUAGUGUUUAUAGUUUAAAGGGUAAUUCUUGGUCAAGUAUUCAGGGUUUUGACAGUGGUUAUGUAAAUGGAAAUGUUGGUGUGUUUGCGAAUGGGGUUCUUCAUUGGGAAGGAUGUUAUGAUUAUGUUUCGGGUGGUAUUUCGUCUGAGAUCGUUACGUUGGAUUUGGCUAAAGAGAGAUAUGGGAGAAUAGCUCUGCCUAGGUAUGAAGGUGGAGGUAUUCAUUGGACAUUAGGUGAAUCAAGGGGGCGUUUAGUUGCUUGUUGCAAUUAUGAAUCGAAUAAGGCAGAUAUAUGGGUGAUGAAGGAAUAUGGUGUAGAGAAAACAUGGACUAAAUUGGUUACCAUCUCAUCACCGGAUGAUGGUAGAGUUAAUAUCUCGCCGUUGUUUGUGGCAGAGAAUGGUGAUGAGGUUUUGGUGAAACUUGGCACAGAGGUGACACUGUACAAUUCAAGGAAUGCAUCAUUCAAGCGAAUUGCCGAUUAUGUGUCGACCGAUGAUUUUCUUCAAGUUCAAGUGGCUACCUACUUAGAGAGCCUUGCUUCACCUCAUAUUUAGUGAACCUGAUGACAGGUUACAAACAUCUUGAAGGCAAAGAGAGAGGGUAAAUGAUCUUCCUGAUUGCCUGGUGCCC
Molecule: long non-coding RNA, 6075 nt
Filed under: Solanum tuberosum (potato)
Lineage: Eukaryota; Viridiplantae; Streptophyta; Magnoliopsida; Solanales; Solanaceae
Description: long non-coding RNA (STUB_LNC000447)
Source: RNAcentral